GACGAAGGGGGCUAGCGUUGUUCGGAAUUACUGGGCGUAAAGCGAGUGUAGGUGGUUUUCCAAGUUGGAUGUGAAAGCCUUGAGCUCAACUCAAGAAAUGCAUUCAGGACUGGGAGACUAGAGGACCGGAGAGGAUAGUGGAAUUCCCAGUGUAGUGGUGAAAUACGUAGAGAUUGGGAAGAACACCAGUGGCGAAGGCGGCUAUCUGGACGGUUUCUGACACUAAGACUCGAAAGCGUGGGGAGCAAACAGG
RNAcentral lists this ribosomal RNA (253 nucleotides) under uncultured bacterium. Its description in RNAcentral is "partial 16S ribosomal RNA". It matches the Rfam family "Bacterial small subunit ribosomal RNA", at positions 524 to 776 of the family's 1533-position model. The record is from RNAcentral.